AUGAAAGAUGGCCAGAAGAUAACAUUCCAUGGUGAAGGAGACCAAGAACCAGGACUGGAGCCAGGAGAUAUUAUCAUUGUUUUAGAUCAGAAGGACCAUGCUGUUUUUACUCGACGAGGAGAAGAUCUUUUCAUGUGUAUGGACAUACAGCUGGUUGAGGCAUUGUGUGGCUUCCAGAAGCCAAUAUCUACUCUUGACAACCGAACCAUAGUCAUCACUUCUCAUCCAGGUCAGAUCGUCAAGCAUGGAGAUAUCAAGUGUGUGCUAAAUGAAGGCAUGCCAAUUUAUCGUAGGCCAUAUGAAAAGGGUCGCCUAAUCAUUGAAUUUAAGGUAAACUUUCCUGAGAAUGGCUUUCUCUCUCCUGAUAAACUCUCUUUGCUGGAAAAACUUCUGCCUGAGAGGAAGGAAGUAGAAGAGACUGAUGAAAUGGACCAGGUAGAAUUAGUGGACUUUGAUCCAAAUCAGGAAAGACGGCGUCAUUACAAUGGAGAAGCAUAUGAGGAUGAUGAACAUCAUCCUCGGGGUGGUGUUCAGUGUCAGACCUCUUAGUAGGCCUGUGAAUAACACUCACUGCUGGGGUUUUAUUGCAGUAGUGAUUGAGUGAAGGACUAUAAUCAUAAUAUGCUCACUACUUGUUUUUGUUUUAAUAUUCAACUAUAGCAGUGUUUAAAAGUUAAAUGAAGAAUAAACUUGAAUAUAAAAGC
Molecule: non-coding RNA, 704 nt
Organism: Odocoileus virginianus texanus
Lineage: Eukaryota; Metazoa; Chordata; Mammalia; Artiodactyla; Cervidae
Source: RefSeq, a predicted model, not a curated record